CAGUUAAACAAAUUUAGCAUUUUCACUCAUGGGUUAAUUGAAUUUCUUACAGGGUAUUCUAAUUGAUUGAUUUUGUCGCGUUGCUGAAUUUUGUCUUGACAUCAGUUUAGUGGAUUCCAGCCUCUAAAUAUAUAAAAUAAUAAAUUAUAAUUAUCAAUUUAUCACAAUCUUCGUUUCAAGAUUCUUGGCUGGCUAUGAUUUGUUUGAAUUAUUUAUUGAAGUGGGCACCUGGCAAAGACAACAUGAUCACACUAACCCCACAAGUAAAACGACGUGAACAAGCUGAAGGCACGUUUCCAUGACUGGACAAGUUUGGACACUGCCACCCGAGAAGCAUCACCCUCCAUCAAUGCAGCCUCGGCUGCAUUUCUCACAGCAAGAGCUCGGUACCAAACCAACUUACCUUUCUCUGACUCCAUCUACCCUCUAACUCGCUCCUCGAACCUUGCUAAACCUACAAACCCGUCAUCCGCUUCGUUUAUUGGCAAAGCAAGUUUCAUUUCUUCCGAUUCAACAAUAAGGUUGCUGGGUACAGGAGUGAUGAGCAUGUGAAUAGAUAGGGAAGGUCGCUGGGUCAAUAACAGUUUGCCUAGCUCCACCAUAGAUAUCAACUGGCCAAUCGGAGAGGCGUGGCCUCUUCUGUGGCUCCUUGUGGCCUUUCCUAUGGCUGUCUAUUUUAAUAGGACAAAAAAGAGAGGCUAGAAGCAGCAUCUUGGCAUGGCAUAGGGAUAGAUACGUGCGGUUCCACCCAAGAUUUUCAAUGAUAUGUUUAGAUAUUAAAUAAUUGAUGUCAAGUCUUUCACCUUGGUUUCUCAUACUAGGCGAAGACAAUACUGAAGUAGCAAACAACCAUCGAAACCAAACCUAAAAUUCCUAAAUCUAGACAAAAUUAAGGCCAGAGUACAUCAGAAAUCUAAGCCCUAAACAGUAGUCAGCACUAACGUCAGAUUCCAUGGUUGUUUGUAGGCACAAGAUAUCUUCUACAUUUUCACCAAAGGAAGCCAAUAGAAUUUAUUUAUCUUUCCUUGACAAGUAGUUACCAGGACAAUCGGUAGAAAAAACAGGGGCAGGGAGUGGGAAAGGAAGGGAGGACCACAAGAUUUCAGACUUCAGAGUCCCAUCAUGAAAACAAACUUUUGUUUCUUCAACUUGCAAUGUGUCCAUGUCUAUCUUUAAAAAAAUUUCAUGAAAACGUCCAAGCUUUUGUUAAAUCAACUUUAAACUGCUUAAGAUUAGUUUGGAUUCACAGCAAUUUUAUAUUCAACAAAAUCAGAGCCCAUAAUGUCCUACGACAUCAGACAAUGAAGUAUUAUCUAGAUCACAACAAAGCAUCUUUCACUAAAAACAGAUAGUUUCUCAGAUUAUAUUACGAAUAUCCCUGCUCCACAAGUUUUUCACCACUGAUUUUUACACAGAAAUCAGUGCCUUAAUAAUGGAAAUCAACAUCAAACUGUAUGCCUAAGUUCACCAAUUAGAAUGAAA
Long non-coding RNA from Populus euphratica (Euphrates poplar), 1482 nucleotides. RefSeq lists it as uncharacterized. The record is from RefSeq and is a predicted model, not a curated record. The transcript has 2 exons. NCBI's taxonomy places the organism in Eukaryota, Viridiplantae, Streptophyta, Magnoliopsida, Malpighiales, Salicaceae.